AUACACUUGUUAAUUAUGUUUUCAUUUGGAAUUCUUUCAGUUGUUGAACCUGUUAGAGAAAAAUUCAACAAAAAUAUUCGUUUGUGGAGUGAAUAUGAAUCUGUUCUUCACAAUUUACAGCAAGUUUUAGAGAUAGAAUUUCCCUCUCCAUCAUCAUCUGUUAAAGAAGAGUUUUGCUUAGAAUGUGGGAUAUGUUACUCAUAUCAGCUGGGUGAUGCCAUCCCAGAUAUGACGUGUGAUGAUCCAAAUUGCAAUCAGCCAUUUCAUCAUGCUUGUUUGUAUGAAUACAUUAGAAUGCUUCCUGAUGUAAGGAGUAGUUUCAAUAAAUUAUUUGGAGAAUGUCCUUACUGCAGUACACCACUGUGGUGCACUAUACCAUGAUAAUUUCUUCCUUUAAAAUGAGGAUGAAUGUAUUUUUCUAGAUCUGUUUCAGAAGGUAAUCUGCUAACACUUCGAAGGGAGGAGAUCAAUGUAUUUGGAGAAACUUUGCUGAGCAUCAGUAGAACAUGUCUCGUAAGAACACAGAAAAGGAGUUCAGCAGAAGCUUUUGCAUCUGGAUUAUUCUCCAAAUUUAAUUUAAGAUUGUCUUAUUGGCAAAUCCAUAAAGUCGUCCCUUACAGUUGCCAACUUUUACUGUUCUUCAUUCUUGUACCUUCUUUAACUGUGAAUCACAUCAUGCAGGUAUUUGUGAAAUGGUCUCCUAGUUCCUAUACUUAUUUUUAGUAAAGUUUUAUGCUCUUUAUCAAAAAAAUAAAAAAAAUAAAAAACAAGAAUUUUGACUACUGCACUACAAAAAUAGACUGGGGUAUUUAAUUUCAAAAUUUGCAAUUUUUGAUAUCAUUUCCAACUUGCCUUGAAGUAAUGGUUUAUUAAAUUAGAAUAAUUCCUGGAAAUAAGUUUAAAUGAGGUGCAGCAAAAAAUCAAGCAAGUCGUGGUUUUUUUUCCCCCUUAGCCUUGCCACUACCUUCAAUUAGCUCAGGCAUUCCCAAGAGCUUUCAAUGGGCCAAACUACUGAUCAGAGUUUUUUAACUGUAUAAUUUUUCUUUGGUAAGAAACAAAUGUUCAGUCAUGCUCAGAUACUGAAACAAUGAAUUUCUAUUCCUAAAUUCUUUUUCGUUUGCAUUAGGUUAAUGUUUUAAGCUUUUCUAGUUUGGCCUUGACUACAUACAUACACACUACAUAUUUACAAUAGCAUAUCAAAAACAUCAUAAUUAGAUGAUAGAGCAUCAUAUGUUUUUUAUCCUAUGUAUAUCACAUUAGGAGAUAGUAAUUGUUAGGUUAAAUCUUCCAUCUUUUUAGCUGACUCAGGCUCAUAAUUACUUUUUUAACCUAAUUUGAACACUAUUUUUCCCCUUUAAACUCCCUUUUCUAUCUAGCCUUAAAAAAUUCCGUAUUAAGUACUCUGAAAUUAUUUUUAUAUAAACCAUUUUUAGCUUUUGUUUAGCUCAUUCUUGGUAUUUGUCAUUGUGAUUUGUAAUUUAUUUUUGAACAACUUCUUGAUAAGCCUGAAGUUCAAAUUUUGUACACAUGCUGUUUGUGGAUGACAUUGCAAUGAAAUGAAGGGAUUUUUCAAAAU
Unclassified non-coding RNA from Stegodyphus dumicola, 1576 nucleotides. The record is from RefSeq and is a predicted model, not a curated record. NCBI's taxonomy places the organism in Eukaryota, Metazoa, Arthropoda, Arachnida, Araneae, Eresidae.